This is a long non-coding RNA of Dicentrarchus labrax (European seabass), 1055 nucleotides long. RefSeq lists it as uncharacterized. Lineage: Eukaryota; Metazoa; Chordata; Actinopteri; Moronidae. The transcript is spliced from 2 exons. The record is from RefSeq and is a predicted model, not a curated record.
GUCAGAGACUCUGGGGAGUGCUGAUCGUAAGAGUCGCCAUGGCUGAGCUGCUUAACUCGAACCUUCAUCUGGAUCUGGUCCAUGCCAAGAACAGGAACCCUCUUAAAACCAGUCAGGAACCCUGAGGAACACCCGUGAAGACAAAGUUGAAACCUAAUAAGUAUUUCCCACACAUAAGCCCAACAACAAGCUUCCUCCUCAGAAAACAGAAUUAUGGGUGAAAAAAGAAAAAGAGAACUGAAGGGAAAAGCAAGGUGAGCAGACUGAAGUAGUUUGUGAGUAAACACUAAAACAAAUUGUAGAAGUAAGUAGAAUUAUCAUCGUGGUUCUAUGGGAAACAUCUCAUGGUCCCGGUCCUCUUGAGUGGUGGGGAUGAGUACAGACUGUUAAUCUGCGGCUGGCAACCGUAACUGUGACUGCAAUCUUUGUGUGUUUUAGCUGCCCCAUUAACCUUUCGCUCAUUCAUUAACAUUAGGUACAAUACUUACAGAUGAAAUUCUUCCUCUGCUCUUCAGUGAGUUCAUCAAAAACCUCCCAAAACAUCUUUAUGGUGGGGUGGCCAGCAUGAUAUACCCAUUCAUAAACUGUGUUCUAAUUUAAGUAAAAAAAAAAGAGAAACGAUACAAUUAAAAUGUUAGAUUAAUCAAUCAAGUGAGGAUGUGUUUAAUCAGUUUCAGAGAAAACUGUGUACCUGUUUAAGCUUUGCCCAGUUAUAGUCGGCUGUGCCCACCAGCACUCCCUGCAGCUCCUCUGGCUGAAACAGCUUCACCACAUCCUGGUCACACACCUGGAAGAAGCCUCGCUUGAACUCCUGAAACACACCCUCCACUGAUGUGUUGAAGACAUGAUUCACGUAGGCAUCCACAAACUCCUUCCUGUUUAUCAAAUUACAGUUUCAAUUCAACAGACAUUUCUCUGAGAGAGAGCUGACCUGGUCGCAGCUCACAUGUACAAUUUAGGAUUAAAUAUUUUUACAGUCUUACUUAUUUUGACUCGUCACUGGCUUUUCCGGGUUUUGAGGAUCAAGGUCGACCUCUGCCCCAUCCCAGUUAAUC